GUGGGGAAUAUUGGGCAAUGGGCGAAAGCCUGACCCAGCAACGCCGCGUGAAGGAAGAAGGUCUUCGGAUCGUAAACUUCUAUCCUUUGUGAAGAUAAUGACGGUAGCCGAGAAGGAAGCCCCGGCUAACUACGUGCCAGCAGCCGCGGUAAUACGUAGGGGGCAAGCGUUGUCCGGAAUGAUUGGGCGUAAAGGGCGCGUAGGCGGCCUGGUAAGUCUGGAGUGAAAGUCCUGCUUUUAAGGUGGGAAUUGCUUGGGAUACUGUCGGGCUUGAGUGCAGGAGAGGUAAGUGGAAGUCCCGGUGUAGCGGUGAAAUGCGUAGAGAUCGGGAGGAACACCAGUGGCGAAGGCGACUUACUGGACUGUAACUGACGCUGAGGCGCGAAAGUGUGGGGAGCAAACAGGAUUAGAUACCCUUGUAGUCC
RNAcentral lists this ribosomal RNA (425 nucleotides) under uncultured bacterium. RNAcentral's name for it is "partial 16S ribosomal RNA". It matches the Rfam family "Bacterial small subunit ribosomal RNA", at positions 354 to 796 of the family's 1533-position model. The record is from RNAcentral.